Molecule: ribosomal RNA, 107 nt
Filed under: Curcuma sichuanensis
Lineage: Eukaryota; Viridiplantae; Streptophyta; Magnoliopsida; Zingiberales; Zingiberaceae
Description: partial 5.8S ribosomal RNA
Rfam family: 5.8S ribosomal RNA
About the family: 5.8S ribosomal RNA (5.8S rRNA) is a component of the large subunit of the eukaryotic ribosome. It is transcribed by RNA polymerase I as part of the 45S precursor that also contains 18S and 28S rRNA. Functionally, it is thought that 5.8S rRNA may be involved in ribosome translocation.
Source: RNAcentral
AUGCGAUACUUGGUGUGAAUUGCAGAAUCUCGUGAACCAUUGAGUCUUUGAACGCAAUUUGUGCCCGAGGCCUUGUGGUCGAGGGCACGCCUGCUUGGGCGUCAUGA